Molecule: ribosomal RNA, 237 nt
Filed under: uncultured bacterium
Lineage: Bacteria
Description: partial 16S ribosomal RNA
Rfam family: Bacterial small subunit ribosomal RNA
Source: RNAcentral
GUUGUUCGGAAUUACUGGGCGUAAAGGGCUCGUAGGCGGCCAACUAAGUCAGACGUGAAAUCCCUCGGCUUAACCGGGGAACUGCAUCUGAUACUGGAUGGCUUGAGUUCGGGAGAGGGAUGCGGAAUUCCAGGUGUAGCGGUGAAAUGCGUAGAUAUCUGGAAGAACACCCGUGGCGAAGGCGGCUCUCUGGGACGGUACUGACGCUGAGACGCGAAAGCGUGGGGAGCGAACAGG